CUCACAUAAUAUAUUUGUUUAAAAUUUUUAGGUAUUUAUUUGAGUAUUUUUAGAGAUUAUGAUUUUUUUAAAACUGGAUAUACAAAGACGUCUUUUUGGACGAGAUUCGAAAUCAAGGUAUUUUCGUUGUGAAAACGAGAACUUAACCACAUAAUCGAAAAGCUGAGCCCACCCAUUCUUCGUAAACGGCGGCCCACACCAAUUAGGGUACUUUUACCUUUGCUUCGUUAAAACUUACAGAGUUCGAACAAAACAGUGGAAAAUUACCUUGAAGGGCGACAACUCCUUUGAAAAUUAUAUUUACCCUUGAGGGGCAAACUGGACAUUACCUUCUCAGACUACGAAUUCAGCCCAACUCCUCAGCUCACGGCACGCGCCGAAAUAUGAAAUUACCUUACAGGAUGCAUUUUAAAUAAUCGGACGGUUUGGAAGCUGGCAGGGCCACGGGUAACUUCGUCAUAUAUCCCUGGCUGAAAUAAAACCCUUAACCCUAGCGGAAAAAUCAGACCAUAUCUCCCAUCUUCGAUUUGUGGCCGCCACGCCACUACUUAUCUCGAAACUUCUUCUUCUCUGGAUCACAACUACACGUGCAAACCCUAGCUUUCUCCCUUCCUUCUCCGGUCAGCAAAAUCGACCAACGACGACCACCCACGGUGCUUCUUCCUCCUGGAUUGUUGUCUGGAGAUCAAUAACUCGCUAAGCUCCCUCCUUGCUCGAUUUCAUGGUAAUCUGCGCUGCCAACUAGAUUGAUUGCCUCCUUGCUCCGAUCACUCCAACCUCGAAGACGGCGGCAAGCUCAGCUUUCUCGAACACUGCGAUCUCCCCUGUAAGACGAAAUGUAGAAGUCCCGAUCUAUUCCUCUCCACUCAACUUUAAUUCGGAUUAGCAAUACCUCAAAAUCAUGACUCUAAUUACUGUUCCUCCUAGCUAUUAUUGGUAACAGAUCCGACCGAAGAUACACAGGGGUUCAAUGAAGGGUUCGGGAAAGGGUAAGGUGUGCGGUUUUGAGCGGGAUUUUUCGGGGAGUGGAGUAUGAUUUGAGGAAGAGAUAAUAAUAAUUUUGUAACUAAUUAUGGUGUCUCUGUUAUAAAACUAAACUCAAAGAAAGACAAGAACAAUAGAAAUAUGGAAAGAGAGAGAGUUUCUUAUUGAGGUGUAUAGAAUGCUACAAAUGAGAGAUCUAUUUAUAGGCUCAUAGAUCAUAACUUAUACUCUCUAAUAUUAUUAGACAUAAAAGUGGGAAAAUAAAUAUAAUGAAAUACAUUGAAGAAUGAAAUAAGGAGUUACACAAUGGUGCAUUCACUAUAGUAAUUAUAUUCAUAACACUCCCCCUUGAAUGACCAUUGGUUAUACAUCGCCCUUCGAAUACGCUUUUGAUACUGCCUCAUUAAAAACCUUACCAGGAAAACCCAGUGGGAAAAACCAUGGUUAAGGGAAAAAGAGUACAGCUGCGUAUUGACUCCCCCUGAUGAUGAUAUCAGUUGAGAUCCUUCAUAUUGACUCCCCC
This 1507-nucleotide long non-coding RNA is filed under the name Linum usitatissimum (flax). RNAcentral describes it as "long non-coding RNA (LUSI_LNC003644)". Lineage: Eukaryota; Viridiplantae; Streptophyta; Magnoliopsida; Malpighiales; Linaceae. The record is from RNAcentral.